CGCCCAACAGCUAGCCCACCUAAACAAUUUCAACAAACCCCUGUUAAUACCCCCUAAGUACCCUAGUAUUUAAAUUAAACAAACCAUUUUUCCCCCUUAGUAUAGGCGAUAGAAAAGGGACCCCGGCGCAAUAGAGAAAGUACCGCAAGGGAACGCUGAAAGAGAAGUGAAAUAACCCAGUAAAGCCUGAAAAAGCAGAGAUUUAAACUCGUACCUUUUGCAUCAUGAUUUAGCGAGUGUACCUCAAGCAAAGAGCACUUUAGUUUGACGUCCCGAAACUACGUGAGCUACUCCAAGACAGCCUAUUAAUAGGGCGCACCCGUCUCUGUGGCAAAAGAGUGGGGAGAGCUUUGAGUAGAGGUGACAAACCUACCGAACCUAGUUAUAGCUGGUUGUCCAAGAAAUGAAUAGAAGUUCAGCCUCUUGGCUUCUCUUUUCACCCUAGUUUAACCCCUAUUGAUGCAUCAAAGAAACCGAGAGAGUUAGUCAAAGGGGGUACAGCCCCUUUGAAUCAAGACACAACUUUACCAGGCGGGUAAAGAUCAUA
RNAcentral lists this ribosomal RNA (547 nucleotides) under Gymnocanthus galeatus (armorhead sculpin). Its description in RNAcentral is "partial 16S ribosomal RNA". It matches the Rfam family "Bacterial large subunit ribosomal RNA", at positions 166 to 1050 of the family's 2925-position model. The record is from RNAcentral. Lineage: Eukaryota; Metazoa; Chordata; Actinopteri; Perciformes; Cottidae.